UGGGGAAUUUUGGACAAUGGGCGAAAGCCUGAUCCAGCAAUGCCGCGUGUGUGAAGAAGGCCUUCGGGUUGUAAAGCACUUUUGUCCGGAAAGAAAUCCUUGGCUCUAAUACAGUCGGGGGAUGACGGUACCGGAAGAAUAAGCACCGGCUAACUACGUGCCAGCAGCCGCGGUAAUACGUAGGGUGCAAGCGUUAAUCGGAAUUACUGGGCGUAAAGCGUGCGCAGGCGGUUUGCUAAGACCGAUGUGAAAUCCCCGGGGCUCAACCUGGGAACUGCAUUGGUGACUGGCAGGCUAGAGUGUGGCAGAGGGGGGUAGAAUUCCACGUGUAGCAGUGAAAUGCGUAGAGAUGUGGAGGAAUACCGAUGGCGAAGGCAGCCCCCUGGGCCAAUACUGACGCUCAUGCACGAAAGCGUGGGGAGCAAACAGGAUUAGAUACCCUGGUAGUCCACGCCCUAAACGAUGUCAACUAGUUGUUGGGGAUUCAUUUCCUUAGUAACGUAGCUAACGCGUGAAGUUGACCGCCU
This 527-nucleotide ribosomal RNA is filed under the name uncultured bacterium. RNAcentral describes it as "partial 16S ribosomal RNA". It matches the Rfam family "Bacterial small subunit ribosomal RNA", at positions 355 to 874 of the family's 1533-position model. The record is from RNAcentral.